Molecule: ribosomal RNA, 301 nt
Filed under: uncultured bacterium
Lineage: Bacteria
Description: partial 16S ribosomal RNA
Rfam family: Bacterial small subunit ribosomal RNA
Source: RNAcentral
CAGCCGCCGCGGGAAUACGAGGGGGGCAAGCGUUGUUCGGAAUUAUUGGGCGUAAAGGGUGCGUAGGCGGCUUGACAAGUCUUGUGUGAAAUCUAUGGGCUCAACCCAUAGUCUGCACGGGAAACUGUCGGGCUUGAGAAUGGGAGAGGUGAGUGGAAUUUCCGGUGUAGCGGUGAAAUGCGUAGAUAUCGGAAGGAACACCUGUGGCGAAAGCGGCUCACUGGACCAUUUCUGACGCUGAUGCACGAAAGCUAGGGGAGCAAACAGGAUUAGAGACCCCCGUAGUCCCUGUCUCUUAUAC